AUUGAACGCUGGCGGCAGGCCUAACACAUGCAAGUCGAGCGGAUGAAGGGAGCUUGCUCCUGGAUUCAGCGGCGGACGGGUGAGUAAUGCCCAGGGAUCUGCCUGGUAGUGGGGGAUAACGUCCGGAAACGGGCGCUAAUACCGCAUACGUCCUGAGGGAGAAAGUGGGGGAUCUUCGGACCUCACGCUAUCAGAUGAGCCUAGGUCGGAUUAGCUAGUUGGUGGGGUAAAGGCCUACCAAGGCGACGAUCCGUAACUGGUCUGAGAGGAUGAUCAGUCACACUGGAACUGAGACACGGUCCAGACUCCUACGGGAGGCAGCAGUGGGGAAUAUUGGACAAUGGGCGAAAGCCUGAUCCAGCCAUGCCGCGUGUGUGAAGAAGGUCUUCGGAUUGUAAAGCACUUUUAGUUGGGAGGAAGGGCAGUAAGUUAAUACCUUGCUGUUUUGACGUUACCAACAGAAUAAGCACCGGCUAACUUCGUG
RNAcentral lists this ribosomal RNA (484 nucleotides) under uncultured bacterium. Its description in RNAcentral is "partial 16S ribosomal RNA". It matches the Rfam family "Bacterial small subunit ribosomal RNA", at positions 30 to 507 of the family's 1533-position model. The record is from RNAcentral.